RNAcentral lists this ribosomal RNA (253 nucleotides) under uncultured bacterium. Its description in RNAcentral is "partial 16S ribosomal RNA". It matches the Rfam family "Bacterial small subunit ribosomal RNA", at positions 524 to 776 of the family's 1533-position model. The record is from RNAcentral.
UACAGAGGUCUCAAGCGUUGUUCGGAUUCAUUGGGCGUAAAGGGUGCGUAGGCGGCGCGGUAAGUCGGGUGUGAAAUCUCGGGGCUUAACUCCGAAACUGCAUUCGAUACUGCCGUGCUUGAGGACUGGAGAGGAGACUGGAAUUUACGGUGUAGCGGUGAAAUGCGUAGAUAUCGUGAGGAAGACCAGUGGCGAAGGCGGGUCUCUGGACAGUUCCUGACGCUGAGGCACGAAGGUCAGGGGAGCAAACGGG